RNAcentral lists this long non-coding RNA (1814 nucleotides) under Junco hyemalis (dark-eyed junco). RNAcentral describes it as "lncRNA (ENSJHYG00000013115.1)". The record is from RNAcentral. Lineage: Eukaryota; Metazoa; Chordata; Aves; Passeriformes; Passerellidae.
UCCUAACUUACUCUGUGGGAGUUAGUAAUGUAAUCAUCAUGCUGAAACAGAGCCAGUGUUGCUCCUGUCUCUUCUCUAGAGCAUCACAGAGUGCACAGUCCCAGUGACAUGCUCAGCGAAACCCCUGAUGAUGUCAGUGGUGACAGGAAACCUUCCCUCCAAGGCUCUGAACCAUCUACAUGCUGAAGCACAUGCUUGGCCUGAAGCAAACUGACCAGAGAGUGGCUUGGUCCAAGCCCAGGUACCUAAAAGAAGUCCCAGAAGGUGUGAUGGAAAAGUAUGUUUAUCAGACAUGAUAUAGCUGAGUGAAUAAAAUGAACGGUCCUCUACUCAUCAAAUACAAAUUCAUCAAGGAAACUUUAAGUUUACCUUGUUCAACAAUUUUGCAGAUGGGGAUUAUUGCCUUGGGUGAGUAAUUCCUCCAUAUUUUGUCGUGUCUGUUCAUCUGCAUGGAGCCCCUUGACACAAAAUUUGAGUUCCUGCAGCUGCCUCAGCCCUGCUUUUCUGUACAAAACAGGGUCUCUGCUGCAGUUUCACUCUAAAACUUAUUCUAACUAAAUCUGUCACUUAUUUAGGCACAUUCUGGAUUUUUAAGGAGGAGAAGGAAAAUACAUGUGUGCAAAGUGGGACUUUGACAUUCUUCAAAAUUUCAAGAGUCUUUUCAGGAAUCCCAGUCAGAAAACUUCAUUAUGUGAAGAUGAAAAGAGGGGGGUUUUCAUCCCAAAUUCUGUUCCCCUAUGAGGCAAUAGCUCAGGUUUCCUUCUGUUCUGGAAAAAAUACCACAAAGAUGAUCUCAUGGGUAUCACAGCUUUUCAGCUUUCUCCAGAAUAUGGUUGACUGGACAGUAAGUGGACAUUUCCAUGAUUAAAUUCCUUUCAGAAUUGGGAAACUGAUAUUCAUUCACAUUCAAGGCUUCUGAAUCUGAUUGUGUGUCAUCUGGCCAUUUAAUUACUCAAUAAGCAGUGCUGGCCAAGGAAUGUAAACUGAAAUUGUUGUAAAUUAGCUCUGGUAUGACACAGUCCCUAUAAUUGAUGUUGCUCUUGCACAAACUUUCUCACAGCUUUUUGGUAUUGAAUUAAUUCUGGUUUUCAUAUUAGUAGCCAGGUAAUAUUUGGUAGUGCAAGAUCUCUUAGCUGUAUUGGGGUAUUUUUUGUUGUAGUGGGGAGGACAUGCUGUACUUCAAAGUGAGUUUAAUUCAGCUGCUACAUAGGCAGUGGCUUGCCAGAAUGAAAGCUAUUUUUGUGGCUGGAACAAAAGAAAAGCAAUUGAGAUUUCGUGGAAAACUGUUUGGAUGCUGCUGCAGCUGAGAGGCUGAAGCGUCUGUCUCUGCAGGACUCCUUCUGGACGUCCCUUCUGGUUACACAUGUGCCUAAAGUAUUCUGUGGAACUGAGCCCUCAAAGCAAGCAGAAACACCCACACACUUCCACAGACUAUCCAGGGACACAAACACUUUCCAAAAUUCCCCCAGAAAAACUGUCCUUGUCUUUGCCCUGCUGAGAGGCUCAACCUCAGCAGCAAAGACAGCUCUGCCCAGAUCACCCAGCACUGCUGGUGUGGGAGGAACAGAUCCCCUGCAUCUCUCAGGGAGCAGCUGAGGUGCUGGGUUUUCCUCUGGUUGCAGAAUAUCCCUCCUCAUGCAACUGAAGGAUUUCUGGAUUCUUGUUUUAUUAGUGUUUUUCCAGCCAGAAUCUGCAGCCAUCUCAUCCCAAACCAGCUGCAUACAGCCAGAGCAAUGCAAGGGUAUACUUAGAGGGUAUAAUCUUUUUUUUAAAGCAGGAAUAAAUGUUAGUCUUCUCUGAGCUAGGAGAAAUAU